CGCGUAGGCGGACAUUUAAGUCAGGGGUGAAAUCCCGGGGCUCAACCCCGGAACUGCCCUUGAUACUGGGUGUCUUGAGUUCGAGAGAGGUGAGUGGAGUUCCGAGUGUAGAGGUGAAAUUCGUAGAUAUUCGGAGGAACACCAGUGGCGAAGGCGGCUCACUGGCUCGAUACUGACGCUGAGGUGCGAAAGUGUGGGGAGCAAACA
Molecule: ribosomal RNA, 207 nt
Filed under: uncultured bacterium
Lineage: Bacteria
Description: partial 16S ribosomal RNA
Rfam family: Bacterial small subunit ribosomal RNA
Source: RNAcentral